CCGUAUUAGUUAGGUUGUUUGUCAUAAAACCUCCAUUGCCAAGGCUAAAUAAUGUAACUUCAAACAACUCCGAGCUCUAAGGUUCUAAAAUUAUCAGAGCAGCAUUUCAAGUGCAUCUACUCCAUUUUCUGAAUUUUCAUGAUGAAGAUAUCUAAUUUUUGUUCGGUGUGCAUUUUUUGAUGGGUAUUGCUUUAACAAGAGGAAGAAAACAUCUUCUUUGAUACUAGAUUAGGCGAUUUUUCGCGAGGAACAACUUGAUCGAGAGGCGACAGCUUUACACAAUUAUGCACAUUAAUGUCAAGAUAAGAAUUCAAAAUAAAAUGUUAAAUUAAACAAUUCUCUUAGAGAUAUAUACAUAUAAAACAUACGAAUAAAAUGUAUAAACUGCUGAAUUAUCAUUAUAAUAUUAUUUUUCUGGAGAGCAUUCACAAACAAACCUGUGUGAGUCGUGUUAUAAAACAAAGGAUUUUUUAAAUAAAAGCAAAUGGCUCGAACUCUAUAUAAGCUCUGAGUUUGCUGAAAAACAACUAGUAAUAUGUUAUUUUAGCUUAUGGAAAUGUUCUUUUUUAUUUUUUUUUAAAGAUAUUUCAUUUCUCUUCCUAUUCGUAAUCAUGAAAUGAUGUUCUGCUGCAUUUAAAGAUGCUUACGUAGAGUCUCGCGGUAGCUUUAUAAUUAUAAUAAAUGUAUUAUAUGUU
Molecule: long non-coding RNA, 695 nt
Organism: Danaus plexippus (monarch butterfly)
Lineage: Eukaryota; Metazoa; Arthropoda; Insecta; Lepidoptera; Nymphalidae
Exons: 2
Source: RefSeq, a predicted model, not a curated record